RNAcentral lists this ribosomal RNA (362 nucleotides) under uncultured bacterium. Its description in RNAcentral is "bacterial SSU rRNA". It matches the Rfam family "Bacterial small subunit ribosomal RNA", at positions 28 to 409 of the family's 1533-position model. The record is from RNAcentral.
GAUGAACGCUGGCGGCGUGCCUAAUACAUGCAAGUCGUGCGGAAAGGCCACUUCGGUGGUACUCGAGCGGCGGACGGCAGAGUAACGCGUAGGAACAUACCCCAAACUGAGGCAUAACUGCUCGAAAGAGCAGCUAAUACCGCAUGUGAUCUUCGGAUUAAAGCUUCGGCGGUUUGGGAAUGGCCUGCGUCCGAUUAGCUAGUUGGUGAGGUAAAUGCUCACCAAGGCUUCGAUCGGUAGCUGGUCUGAGAGGAUGAUCAGCCUGACUGGAACUGAGAACGGUCCAGACUCCUACGGGAGGCAGCAGUAGGGAAUUUUCCACAAUGGGCGAAAGCCUGAUGGAGCAACGCCGCGUGCAGGAU